GGAAAACUGUAGUAUAUACUGUAGUAAUUAAUGUAGUGUUUUUGCAGAUUGUAAUAUACUGUAGUAUUUACUGUAGUGUUUUUGCUGACAUUACUGUAGUAUUUACUAUAGUGUUAUUGUAUUAUAAUCUUUGACAGAAGUGAAGGCUUUCUCCUUCAAGAAACCUUCUGGAGAACUAAUAAAAGAGCACAUUUUGCAUAACCUGUAGGUAGGUAGGACUGGGGUCUGAACGGAUAGUUCAGAGCUUCUGCUCUUUUCCAUAACCUGUAAGGAACACAAUAUAUGGUCUAUACUUGGCAUGUAGGUUUCUCACUUAUGGGUGGCACAAAUUGCGAUAUUGAGUAGGGGAAUGGUCAGGGUAUAUACAAAUGAAAUACUGUAGUAUUUACUAUAGUUAACAUUUUUUUGUAUAUUUUCAGUCAUUACUGUAGUAUUUACUAGUGUUUUUUUGUCGGGAUAAUACUCUAGUAGUUACUAUAGUAUUCUACAUUAUACUACAACCUUCUAUAGUAAGUACUACACAUGAUCGAGGGAUACUACAUUGUGUAGUAUAAUAUUCUACAUUUUACUAUAUCAUUAUUUUCUAUAGUAAGUACUGUAGUAUUCUACAGUAAACUGUAGUAUAUUUUCAUGUGUGUGUGUCUCUCUCAAUCAACAGAUCUCAACCCAAUUAACCCUUAUGGGAGAUACUAAAACGCGAUGCCUGAGACAGCGUUUUCCACAACCAUCAACAAAACACCAAAUUAUAGAGUUCCAGACGUUAGAAUCUAUGCCAAGGCACAUUGAAGCUGUUCUGGCAGCUCGUGGUGGCCCAAUGCCCUAUUAAGACACUUUAUGCUGGUGUUUCCUUUAUUUUGGCAGUUACCUGUAUAUAAUUUAUGUUAAUACAGUAUGUGACCUGCAAAAUCUACAUAGCUGUGUGUUAAAAUGGGAUAUUAUAUGACUAUGGCCGCAGUGUUUGAGCAGAGUUGGUACGAUAAAUGCACAACUGAAAGCACAAUCGUUUGGAGACUUUGGAACCUGCAUAUGUAACUGGUGGUUUUAUGCUCUGUAAUGAAAUGUUUUUCAGAUACAUAAUCAAAACAAUGUGACAGACAGGAGGUACUUGUAGAGGUCUGCUCCAUUGGAAGAAGGCUGAGUUUAGUUAACUAUAGAGUAUGGAGUCUUCCUUUGAAGAAAUGUCAUGCUUGGUCUGCAGACUGAAGUUAUAUAAAAUGUACUGGUUAAUUAAUGGUUCAUUUCCCUUAGUUUCUUCUGUAAAUGCUUAACAGUGCCUUUCUUGCGUUUUAAUAUGAUUAUAUCUAUAUUUUCUCCACUGGGCUGUAUAUGUAGCUACAGUGCUUAGCUACGUAGAAUAACUCAUACAGGUGUAAGUUCAGUUUCUGAAACUUGGAUAACACACUUUUAAUGGCUGCAAAUCUACUACAGUACAUGUUCUAUAUCACUUGUACUGUCAUUUAUUAUCCAAAACAGGCCUAAAAGGGCAAUUCCAACACUUUUCAACCUUAUUUUCAUUAUCUCCAGCACAAUUAUAGUGUCUUCAUAUGUGAAAAUGGCGCAUUUCUAGAAAACAUAUAUAUAUAAAGUAAAAAAGUUCUAUGUGAACGUAAAAAAAUAAACAUUUAUUUAACAGUGAUUCCCUAAGACUAUGAGACUCGCGGUGAUGUGGGGAGCAUGAAAAUACCCUCGCUCUGGCUAGAAAGUCAUUGCAGGUUUUGAAAAUCACAGUUUUCUUUACUUUUAAUCCUACCCUGUUUUUAGGACUUUCCCUAUUAUCUUUUUAACCACAGAUCAUAGAAACGCACUGUUUUCACAUAUACUGAGGGUGUUUCUCCAUAUGCAUACUACCUUGCUCCACACUCUCAUGCUCUGAGUGCAUUCUCUGAUGCUUUCUCUUGAGUAUGUUCUUGUGAGGACGAGAGUGUGGAGAAUGUAUAAAACAUUUACAGGACUACAGGACAUACAACAUUACGUUUGAGAAGCACCCCCUACUGUAUUACCUCACGCUUCACUUCCCCAUUCCCUGAACCUUCAUCCAGCCAGGACAAUGGCAAGAAUAGACUAAACAAAAAAUGACCUAAAAUGAAUAUUAUGCAAGAUAGAUGUCAAGUUUUCAUGGGUAGCUAGCUAACUAUUCUUUGUGGCUAUCUGGCUAGCUAAAAGUAGUAGCUAGACAGUUAGCCCUAUUGACUUAUUAUGGGCUUGAGAUCUACGGUACGUAGGCAGGUAAACAUUAACACAGCAUGUAUUUAUUAACGUAUCAAGAUAAAAUAUUGUAGUCAGGCAACAUAUGAGAUGUGAAUAGGCAACAUUUCAUUCUGAAUUCAGAGUGUAUUUUCUCUCGCUUCAGCUUAAAUAAUGGCCGUCAUUUUUUACGUGGCUGCGUCAUAUUUCUUUGCAUACUUUCCAUACUUUCAAUUGAAGCUUGCAUCGAUGCAUGCUUCAAAAUAUGUACUAUUAUACAAUGGGUGGGUCUAAUCCUGGAUGCUGAUUGGUUAAAACCACAUUCCAGCCGGUGUCUAUUCCACAAGUUACCACCGGCUAAUGCUAUGACAUUGAAAUACCUAUUUACUCUCACUGCGCAAUCCACUGUCUCAUCAACCCAGCCAGGCAAUUUCUAAACUUGAUCUCCACUAUAAAAAGCAUCUACACAUUAUCUCCCAUUUCUUUUAGACUAUCAUUUGGUUUUCAACAGCAGAGAUUUGUGUAAACCUUGCAGUCUGUCCUCCAACAUUUGCAACAUUGUUUCAAUAUUUAAAUGUAUCUCCGGCUGUCCCAUAGUAAUGAACAUGUCGGGAGUCGGGACUAGACAGACAGGCAGACAGAUGUUCUUAGCCAGUCGAAAUCAUGAAUCAGCUGGUAUCAUUUUUAUGAAUAUAUACAAAGAAAUGUCAACAGAAAACAGGUCAAACUAAAUGAAGUUGAAGAGCAGCUAGUUUGCAGUCUUUCUAGCUUCAGACUGAAGUGAUUGUGUUAGCUGUGUUGUUGGCUAGCUCCUAUGAACAACAGUGUCCUAACGAGAGAGCACAUUUUCUAUGCCAGGCGAAAUCGCGCAUCAUUAGCUCAUUGUUAAGGAUGUAUCUAAAUAAAUGUCACUAGAAAACAGUUUAAACAAUCGCAAAUGCAGCUACUUUGCUGUUAUUCUGGCCGUAGUUAGCCGUAGUUGGCUAGCUAUCAAACGAGGAAUAAGAACGUUGCCAGCCAGUAUGGCAAUGGAACAUUUAGAACAAACUACUGAGUCGCGUCCAUGGAUACAGAACAAAAAGGUCUAACGACUGGAUCGCGUCUCUAGCAACCGAACCAAUAGAACGAACGACCAGCCGGCUUGUGUAGCAACCCUAGAUUUGUGUCGGGACUAUAUCUUGUGGAAGAAUGAAAUGAUAUGAAUUCAUUUAUCAAAAUAAUGUUUUUAUGAAAAUAUGUCAAUCAUUAUUUGAAUAUGUUGGUAACUCCUUGAAUAAAAGUGAUAAUUCCCUUGAAGCCGGUGUUUGGAGGAUAUAUUGGCAUUUAUAACACCAGUGCCAAUAUAUCAUCCAAACACCGGGCAUUAUUACUUAAACAGAGUACGCAUUCAAGAAGUGCUCUCAGUGCUCCGUUUCGCAUACUUUGAUUUUGGCUCAUACUCUGACCCUCCCAUGCUCCAAUUUGCGUGCUCGGAGCACAGUUGUAUGCAUUUUGAGAAACAUCCUGAGUGUACAAAACAUUAGGAACACCUCUUCUUUCCAUAACAUAGACUGACCAGGUGGAUCCAGGUGAAAGCUAUGAUCCCUUAUUGAAGUCACCUGUUAAAUCUAUUUCAAUCAGUGUAAAUGAAGGGGAGAAGACAGGAUAAUUGUAAAGAAUGAUUUUUAAGCCUUCAGACAAUUGCGACAUAAAUUGUGUAUGUGUGCCAUUCAGAGGGUGAAUCGGCAAGACAAAAGAUUUAAGUGUCUUUGAACGGGGUAUGGCAGUAGGUGCCAGGCGCACCGGUUUGUUUCAAGAACUGCAAUGCUGCUGGGUUUUUCACGCUCAACAGUUUCCCGUGUGUAUCAAGAAUGGUCCACCACCCAAUAGACAUCCAGCCAACUAGACACAACUGUGGGAAGCAUUGGAGUCAACAUGGGCCAGCAUCCCUGUGGAAUGCUUUUGACGCUGUGUAGAGUCCAUGCCCUGACGAAUUGAGGCUGUUCUGAGGGCAAAGGGGGGUGGAACUCAAUAUUAGGAAGGUGUUUCUAAUGUUUCGUACACUCAGUGUAUGUCGAUACUGUUUUGGUGCUGGAGAUAAUGAAUACAUCAGAAUUGCCCUUGAAAAUACAUGGUUGAUAAUGUUAACAUUCCUAAUUCUUUCAAAUUAAUGUAUUAAAAUGCACAUAACAGAGGUUACAAGAUCUCUGUGGAGGAGAAAUACAAAAUGAAUUGUAAUAUUAUACAUCAAUAAACUACAAACAUGAAAGUAUUUUUUGGUCUGGAUGUCUUGAAUGAAAUACUGUAUAACCACACCAAGUUGCACUAUAAAAAGAGGCUUAGGGCUAGGAUUGCAAAACUACUGGUAGUUUACAAAAGUUAUCAGAAUUUCCGGUAAUGUUAGUAAUUAACAGGUAAUC
RNAcentral lists this long non-coding RNA (4583 nucleotides) under Salmo salar (Atlantic salmon). RNAcentral describes it as "lncRNA (ENSSSAG00000099181.1)". Lineage: Eukaryota; Metazoa; Chordata; Actinopteri; Salmoniformes; Salmonidae. The record is from RNAcentral.